Molecule: unclassified non-coding RNA, 5657 nt
Filed under: Hevea brasiliensis (rubber tree)
Lineage: Eukaryota; Viridiplantae; Streptophyta; Magnoliopsida; Malpighiales; Euphorbiaceae
Source: RNAcentral
CAGAACAUUAAUGAACAAAAUAAUACGCGCAGAGGUUAAGAUUAGUAAAUGGAGUAUUAUACACUGUUAAGAUUACAGUUGUAUUUUCAUAAAAUAUAUAUAUAUGUAUAUAUAUAUGUUACAGUUGUAUUUACAGUUAUACAGAGUUUCAAUUACAUCCAUCACUUUCAGGACAUCAGAACGGGCCAAACAUUUUAACCAUUGCUGUUAAAAAUACUUCUGAAAGCAAUCCUCUUCCCUACAGAAUCUGCACACAACUUUGUAUACUUCAAUCAACAGCUUUGGAAAUCGACUUGCAAAAUAGCUAUCAUAUCCUUCUGGAACUGGUCCAACAAGCUCCUGCAGUAUCCACCCAAAAUAGAACAUAUCAGAUAUCGUACAUGAAUUUAAAGGACAGAACAAUGAAAAGAACUCAAGUGCACAUCCAAGUAAGCUUCCUGCCACUAAAUCAUACACCAUAGCUAAGUAAAAUAAUGUAGACUCAAACUCAAACUCAAAUGGAAACUCAAGUAAGAUCAUAUUGAUUUUACCACACUCAGAAUAGUUAGUGUAGUGUCAAACUGAAUCUAGGCUAUGGCUUCCAAAAUGGUUUAUGCCUAUUACAAGUUAGGAGUUCACAUUAAAAAUUUCAUCAAGGAGAUUCAAUAACCAUCGAACUUUUCUCCCCCUUUCUCUCCCCUUCAAAUCAAAGCCUCUGAUACAAUAGUAUAUGGUAUUUAGUAAUCCAAUUAAUGGAAGCCUAACCGGCUAACAUGGCAGUUGGUGAGGCUCAGUAGCAAUAACACUGAGAUAGAUUCAUUAAUAAAGCAGUGAUAAUCUGUGUACAGGACCAUCGAAUGCCAUACCUGCCUACCACCUACAUUGGAGCCUUGUCCAACCUCCUAGUUAGGGAGGUGACCUCUUGGUAAGUGGAAUAUUGUAAGUAUUUCAUAACAUAUUAAUUGUAAUAAAAUUAAUUAUAACACAACUGAAAAGGAGAAUUGUUGGACAAGAGAAAACAAAAUUGAGAAAUUUAUCAGGUUUAUAGCUCUCAAGGGAUCAGACCUGUUUUCCCUUUUGUUUAAAAAAUUAUCAGGCUAGAUUGCUUGCACUAUAAAUUUAUAGUUGUAUGUACUCAAUCCUUGAAAAAUUACCCAAGCAACUCAUAUUUUAACAUGUUUCUUGCUUUGAGAAACAAACCUGAAUUCCUUUGGGUAGUUCUCUAUAAUGAUUCAACUUGUUUCGCAAGACUCGCAACAAGUCCCGAACACUAUCAAACUUAUAUCGCCUGUAGCGGCCAAUGUUAGUGAUAAAUUCAGGUUCCAUCUUUUCAUUCCAUUUUCCACCAAGAGCAGUAGGUGCAGUACUCUCCAAUGCUUUCAAGAGAUCAGAAUCAGACUCCCUAUCCUCCAAUUCUACUCUGUCACUAGUGUCGCGAAGAAAUGACAAUCUCAUUUCAGAACUCCAAAACAUUGGGUGGCGCAGCACUUCUAUUGCCUUUGGCCUCAAUUCAGGGUCAGGAUUUAAUAAACAGGAAAUAAGAUCCUCAGCUUCUGGAAUGUAUUCAACUAAGAAAAGAUCUACUUUGUUUUUGACAAUAUUGAUAUCACGUUCAAGACGAUCCCCAAAUGGAUGUCUACCACCAGUAAUACAGAAAAAGAGGACACAACCCAAACUAAACAAAUCAACUGCACGUGUUUGGCGUCCAUGAAGAAGCUGCUCUGGUGCUUGCCAACCAGAGCUGCCACAGCCUGCAAAUUAAGUAGUCAAUUAUCGGGGUAAAUUGACCACGAAAAAUUAGGUUUCACGUGACUAGAAAUUAGGAUUAGGAGAACAAACAAGGUCAGUACACCUUCCCUUGGAUCAUUCAUUUCUAUCAUGACUUGACAAAGAUGACUUGGGAUAAUGAUGAGAAAUUUUUUACAUGAACGGGCCACUGACCCCAAAUGCUUAUCGUGUAGCAAACAGAAAUUAAGGAUAUUAAUAAAUUAACCAGAUAAAAAUAAUAACAAUAAAUAAAUUAACCAAUUAAUAUCACUUACCAGUAGCAUUAUAACCCAAUGAAGACGUAUCCCCAAGAAGACGCUUGCUGAUUCCCAUAUCAGAAAGCUUCGCACAUAAAGAUCUUUCUUUAAGAAGUAAUACAUUUUGAGGCUUCAAGUCUCGAUGGAUUAUACCCAAUUCGUGUAAAUGCACAAGCCCAGAAACCACAUCCCUGUUUUACAGAUUAAAUAUGAAAAAGAUCAAAAAGAUGCUUGAGUCGGUGCAUACACUGCAAUGCCUAGGUCCAUUAAACUUGAAAGAGGUUUUCAACUAUACCAUCUAGUGGUUUGCUGUUACUUCUUCCAUUAAAAUUAGCACCUCUAAAUUUUUACCCUAAAAAUACCAUUAUCUUUUGUGAUUUUGCAAAGAUAAAAGAUAAUGUCCAUGAUAAAAAAAAAAUGAUAAUUAUUUCUAAUACAAAAUUUCUUAAUUUUCUAAACUAUUUGAUAAAAUGUAUUAAAUGAUUCUUUUAAGAAAAUCAAUUAGCAUUAGCAGAAAAGAAAGCAGUGUGAACCUCAAGAAUCAAACUAUCUUGCAGAAAAUAACAUAGGUGGCCAUGUGCUAGCAAGAAAUAUCACAAAGGGGCUUUGUUCAAUUGAUUCAACUUGAGGAAUAUUUGACAUAGGCAACUUGCCUCCAACUAUUUUCACAAAGGUCAGAAAGGUUGAAGUGCCAUAACUUGAAGUAAUGAAGCUUAUAAAUUCUAUAAAUAUUUCAUCAACUAAGUCAUUGCAAAUACCAUUACUUGCACAUACCUAAAGCAUAGUUCGGCAAUAUUGGCCAUAAUAAUAAAACAACGUAGACAUGAAUGUCUUCCAAGGAUGGUGUGACAAUCCCAUUACCAUGGAACAAUCUAUGGUAUUCUCACAAAAUUUGGUUACAACGCAUCCUCUAGUAUGAAUCAUUGACCAAUAGAACCAUUGGACAGCAAACCAUUACAAUGACAUCACCAAAAGCUUUCUGGACAUUGACUGAUUAAGAGAUAAUAUGUAUAUUUCAGCCACUUAAGGACUCAAAACUGCAUGGUAUAGGCCUAGCUCUAUCCCCUGGAAGUCCAUUGCGAGAAAAAUUAUUAACGAAGAACCAAAAACUAAAUAUUAAUAUUUAAAUAAAAAUUUUGCAAUCUACACAAAAGCACAAAAAUACUACUGCUCAUGGUGAUAAGAUUAUCUAAUUUUGGCCAGCCAAUAAUUGACCAGAACAGAAAUAUAAGGCACAAAACAUCCAUGUCAGGAGUCAGUAGUAAUUUUUUUUUAGCAUAAAGUGCUAAUGAAUCAGGAAGAUUGUUUGCUUACUUCAUUAGUGCUAAUAGAAGAGGUGAUGGAUGGCCAUUUUCUUUCCACCAAUUAAGGUCCUCCAUUAUACCCUUCACCUUAUCCAGCCAACGUUUAUACUCAAUUGUGGCUCUAGUAGCUUGGUCCUCACCGGAGAUUUGGUUUAGAGAGGAACCAAAAAAUAUCUGAAUCAAAUCGUCUAAGCUGCAUGUACAGCGCUCCAAAGAUAGGUAGACAAAAUCUUUAUCAUACUCCACCCCAUACCAACGAACAAUAUUUGGAUGUCUAUCUGAUGCAAUGAGAUUCUGAAUUUCUUUAAAUGCCACAUCAUGAUGAGUUCGAACAAGGCGUUUCACAGCAACAGGUCGACCUUCAUAUAUACCUUCAAGGAUAAUGGUACCAUUGCUUCCCUUAGCAAUUUCUGUAUUUGAUACAAAUAACUUGCCAAUUCUAUGUCCAUCAGUGCCACUAUCAACAAGUUUAUUAAGGUCCAAGAAUGUUGUGUCAUCAUCUUCACUGAGUGCAGGUCCAUCCCCAUUUUCAGAUGAUCCAUCUGCAUCCUUUGUAUCAACACUGCCAUUUUUCUUUCCUGAUUUCUUGCUUUUCUUCCUUUUAGAAGGUGAAGCUUUUAAACUGCUACUACUGGACAGCUUCUCUGAAGCAAUCUUUUCUUUACCCACUAGAUAGAUAAAGCCCAACAGAAUGAUGACCACAAUCAAAAUGAAAGCUGUCGACCACUUAAUGAGCAUGUUUAACACAUUUUCAUAAAGCAAUCUUGCAUCAUGCACAUCAACCACCCCAGAAUCAUAAGGCAAAGCAAGCAUUCCUUCACUCCCAUCAUUGGGAUGAAAAUUUGACAAUUUAUCAACUUUGGGUUCCAACGCAAGCACAGGAUUUGAAGCAGACCCCGUAAGCAUCCUUCUUUCAUGAUGAUCCUCUAAUGAUCUGUCAACACCAGGCUCUGAGGGAAGCAUUAGAUUUGAUGCAGGCAAUGGAAGCUUCUCGUCACCAUGAGCAGCCCCAAAAGAAGACUGUGGCUUACCUUGUCUUCGAACCAUCAUUCUUCUAGGUUGACAUGACAAAAACACCUCAAAAUCACUUCCACUUUCAGAACCAAGGUCAUAAGCAGAGUUUAAUGUGGUUUCUGAGUUCUCAACAUCUUUACAUAGAAAAGCAGCCUCAAUCAUGGCCACUUUCAUAUUCCAAGAAACAUUGUCUGAAUUUGAACCAAAAGUUUGCAGUGUGUAAUCUGUCCUUGUGAUGUAUAUGACUUGAGCAGUACUUGAAGAGCCAGACAUUACCAGAUCCUUAUUAUUUUUAUUGUCAUCAUGCAAAGCACUCCCUUCUUCAUCUCUUUGCAAUGUGGAUGGAGUAUCAAGUGACUUAUAAGUGUGAACAAGUCUUCCAGUCUUAGCUUCAACCACAAACACUGUAGUUGUCUUAGAUCCAAGUAUAACUGACCCAUCUUCUGAUAUGUGUGGUGUAAUUUUGAUGAAGUCUUCAAUAUUCAUUUGAAGUUUCUGUUAGCGCAACAGUAUCAAUGAUUAAGAUGUAUGCAAACAUGGAAAAAAAGUAAAUGUUAAAAGCAGAAGAAAACUGGCAGCUUAAUCUCUAUGGGGAAGAAAACCACCAUUGGGCAAUCCUAAACAAAAUUCUCUGUAUGUGAAUAAGCUUCUUAGGCAUAUGGCAUACCACUCCACUAGAGUGUUUUCCAUGUGCAUACAGUUGCCAGUCAUCUCCAUAAUCUACAAAGAAUCCAGUUCUUGGUCCGGAGGCAUUUUCUUUAUCCUUAUCUUGAUGGAAUGGAGCUUGAUAUGAUGAGUAUAUUGGUGCUCCAGAUGAAAAUGACCAGAAAACUUUCCCAGAAGCUGUAUCUUCAAAAUAAAUUGUUCCAUUAGGGAGCGCAACUAGUUCUGCAGAAUCUUCCAGAUGUGACGAUGAUUUGAGAGACCGGGCUCCAGCUCGAGUAGGGGACUUGAAAUCAAUCCAUUGAGGACUCGAAGGCACAAUCUCGGUACUCUCGGAGUUGAAUCCGUCAACGUAUGAGUUAAAAAAACCAUAAAUUAACAGCAACAAGAAACAGAAAAAAAGAAAAUGAAGUUUCAUUCCCAAGUACUGGAGAAAUAAAUUCAGAGCUUCACAUAUGAACUUUUUGCAGGGUCAUGGUGGCCGUGGUGGUUGAUGCUGAUGAAAGAGAGAAAAAGCGGAAACCCAACAGAAUCAAAACAAGCAUAGAAUUUAAGAUUCCAAGCUUGUUUGAACCUGCAAAUCUUGGGAUCUCCUAUCAGCGCCGCAACCCCCAAGUUGGCCUGGAUUCGCCUCCCAAAAGAUUAUACAAGCAUAUUAUCUGUGGGCUUACCG